GGGCCCAUAGCUCAGGGGUUAGAGCAGUCGGCUCAUAACCGAAAGGUCCCAGGUUCGAUCCCUGGUGGGCCCACCA
RNAcentral lists this transfer RNA (76 nucleotides) under bacterium. RNAcentral describes it as "tRNA-Met". It matches the Rfam family "tRNA". From Rfam's summary of the family: Transfer RNA (tRNA) molecules are approximately 80 nucleotides in length. Their secondary structure includes four short double-helical elements and three loops (D, anti-codon, and T loops). RNAcentral also lists the same sequence under 1 other name. The record is from RNAcentral.